CUAUCUGCAGUCGAUGGGUUUAGACCCAUGGCGAACGGGUGAGUAACGCGUAGGAAGCUGCUCCGAAGUCUGGUAUAACUCGCCGAAAGGCGAGAUAACACCGGAUAUGCCGCAAGGUGAAAGUUUACGCUUCGGAAGGCGCCUGCGUCCUAUCAGCUUGUUGGUGAGGUAACGGCUCACCAAGGCUAUGACGGGUAACUGGUCUGAGAGGACGACCAGUCACAGUGGGACUGAGACACGGCCCACACUCCUACGGGAGGCAGCAGUAGGGAAUCGUCGGCAAUGGGCGAAAGCCUGACCGCGCGACGCCGCGUGGAGGAAGAAGGCCUUCGGGUUGUAAACUUCUUUUAUGGGGGACGAUUAUGACGGUACCCCACGAAUAAGGGCCUGCUAACUACGUGCCAGCAGCAGCGGUAAUACGUAGGGCCCGAGUAUUAUCCGGAAUUACUGGGCGUAAAGAGCGUGUAGGUGUUCGUACAAGUUGGUCGUUAAAUCUCACCGCCUAACGGUGAGGCCGCGAGCAAAACUGUACGAAUUGAGGUUUGCAGGGGCUAGCAGAAUUUCUGGAGUAGGGGUGAAAUCCGUUGAUACCAGAAAGGAAUACCAAUGGCGAAAGCAGCUAGCUGGGCAAUACCUGACACUGAGACGCGAAAGCGUGGGGAGCAAACGGGAAUUAGAUACCCCGGUAGUCCACGCCGUAAACUCUGUCAACUAGCAAUAGGAGAGUCGACCCUCUCUGUUGCGAAGCUAACGCGUCAAGUUGACCGCCUGGGAAGUACGAUCGCAGAUUA
This 791-nucleotide ribosomal RNA is filed under the name uncultured bacterium. Its description in RNAcentral is "bacterial SSU rRNA". It matches the Rfam family "Bacterial small subunit ribosomal RNA", at positions 54 to 896 of the family's 1533-position model. The record is from RNAcentral.